Molecule: non-coding RNA, 390 nt
Organism: Pelobates cultripes (western spadefoot toad)
Lineage: Eukaryota; Metazoa; Chordata; Amphibia; Anura; Pelobatidae
Source: the annotation of a GenBank genome assembly
GUCUAUGUUUGCAAUAUCAGUAAAAUAGAAUAACAUACCCUCUUGAACAAGUCAACCUCUCAGUCAUGAUAACAUGGAGCAGUGUCUCUGUCUCCAAAAUCUCUCCUCUGUUUCCUACUAUAAAUAAGUACACACAUUUAUACCUUAGAUUUUCAAUUAGGUUAUGUUAGGACCUACCAUAACUUGGCAAAGAUACAAGUUCAUGAGCUUUAAAGGACAUAGCCUUAACUUGUUCAUUUUACAAGGGAACAUCUUCAUAAGUCUAUUGUCAAGACCUAGACAUCUUAUCUAUGUUUAACCCCUUAAGGACCAAACUUCUGGAAUAAAAGGGAAUGAUGACAUGUCACACAUGUCAUGUGUCCUUAAGGGGUUAAACUAAAACAAAGGGAC